CUUGCUCCACCUCAAAGGCGUUUGAGACAGGGCAAGAGGCAUGUGCACGCUUGUCUGGACACGCCCUUUGAGUCAUUUUGGGAAUAGCAAUUCUAGUUGCUUCUUAUGAGCUGCUAAGAUUUGAGGACUUGAACUUGGAACAAGACUGAGAAUAACGUCAUUCAUGCAAGUAGUCCAGUUGCAUGUAUUACAUAGCUGCCCUUAUAAAAGUGCUUAAAACAUUGGCAUUUAAAGUAUCCAUAGGCACUCCCUUGAAUGUAGACCCUUUGUUUUCGCCAGGACUGGGUGACAAGUGAAACAAGUUCCAGUAGUCUGUCUAACUUCCAAAGGCCUUUUGUUGCCAACUUGAAAGGGAGCUAAAAGGGGGGACAUUUACUUUAAGAACUUGGUGUCCUAGAUUAGCUGUGUGCAGUGGGUCCUUUCUGCUAUUCAUAGUCAGGAGCAUUCAAGUUCAUUGGGCAGGGUUUUGUCUCCUGUACACAAGCUGUGUCCUGUGAAAGGGAAGAGUAAAGGGGCAGGCUGUAAUGGGAGCUUUCUGCAGUGCAUAAAGUCAUUCUGCAUGGGUUUGUAGGACUCCUCCACUGCCAUAACCCCAGUAUAAAGGUGGGAUAGAGCCAGAUCAGGAACACUGGUGACCCAAGUGAUGUGGAGAGCUCCCAAAGCCAUUGUACUUGUUCCAGGCACAAAGUGGUUUUCCAGCACAGUUUGCAAAGCUGGCUUAAGGCAGUCUUUCUUCUUUUUCUUUUUUUCUAAUCGUAAUAGUGGCCUUCUAGAAAUACUUUCAGGGCUGUCAUUUUCUUCAUUUGGGCUCCUUUACAGUAGUCUGUGGAAUGACUUGCUGGAAUAAAGUGCGGCCUGACUAAAGCAAUUAAAAUACGGUCCAUGUCCAUAAGUAUGAUGCUGAUUAUGAAAUUCUAAUUGGAUUGUUUUUUUGAAAUGGCAUAGUAUACAUCCUCAUUGUGGAGACUCCCAGUAAUCUAAACAAUGGAGUUUAUAAGGUAUGCAGGUUUAUGUAUGGAAAAAAGUGACAGACCAAGGAGGAAGAGGCAACCAGUUAAUAAUACUGAGCUGGACUCCAUCUGACUUAUGUAGUUUUACCUAAAAAAAACUACACAAGUCUUCAGGUCAUGAGGACUGUUUACAAAUGUUCUAAGUCAUGACCAUGUACUAUAGGAUGUAGAUAAAAAGAUUAAAUGCUGUUGGGAAUCAAAGUAAUCAUCUUAAUACCUUUCAGCAAAGCAAACAACAUUUGGCCAAAUCACUGGAAUAACACAGAUCAGAUCAGUCUGGAACUGAGUCACUGACCAAGUGGCUGGUGUUUAGAGCACAAUUUUGAGUGUACUCUGCUUUGCUAGAUAGGUCCUUAAAUUUUUGACUGGGUGAGCACUUGUCCUUUGCAGGUUGCCCCCUGUACAGAUGGGAAAUUGAGGCACAGAGUGGAGUUGAAUGUAAAUCCCCAGAGUUCAAGGGAAACAAAGUUACUAUUGCACCAUCCUUCCUAUUUGUUCCAUAAAAUUUGGGGUAUUGGAGAGCCUCGCUCUUAGGGAUUUAUACUGUAACUACAGGUUUAUACCAACAAAAGCAGUGUUUUUCAUUCCAUAAUGGAAAUAAGACAGAAACAAUGUAAAGGGGGGAGAGAGGGAGGGAAGAAAAGCCUGUGGAAUUAGUUGUAUUUUGCUUUUUUAUUUUUCCACAUUACUUAAAACAAGAAAUUUUAAUAGCACUGGAUUUACUUUUUACAACAAAAUAUUUUCAUGUAUUCAUUUCCUGCCCAUCAUUGAAAAACAACAGUCACUAAACGUCAGCACCUAAAUCUUCAUAAUACUGUUGUUUGUCCGUAGUGCAGUUUUUGUUUUGCUUGAAACCUUGGUUAGUGAUUUUAAAUCUAUUACACUUUUCAUUUAACAUUCUUUAUUUUUGUCAGUCAGUGCAAAUCCAACAAAUGAUUUUUUUUUUUAAAGGAGUAAGAAACAUUUACAGUCUAAUGGAAGCUAGGCCAUAGUUUUAACAUGAAACAUACUGUACAGCGUUAACAUUGGCAUUUGCCCAUUUUAAGAUAACAAUAUAAGCUUUAUUUUUUAAUAAUUAAUUCCUUUUUGCAUAUGACUGUCUGUGCUUUACGAAACUAUUGGGGACUCAAAUAUAUCCGUGAAAGAGCACAACUGUAUUUUUAUUUAAUGUUAGAUGAGAUCCAUAUUUUUUUUACAUGUUUUAUUUUGGAUGAUAAAUAGAAGUAUUUCUCUUGAAUACAUUUUGUAAACCUUUAAAAUAUGGACAUUUCUAACUAGUCAACAUUUGAACCAGAAGCUCAGGCUUUGAUGUAAAUUAUUGAAAGAAAGAAAAAAGUAAUAAGAAUAUGUUUCCCUGAAAAUGUAUUUUAGCAUGAGUAACUUCUUGGACCUGGUAUUUUGUAAAAAGGUAUAAUUGAGUCAUAAAUGCCAUUCUGUUCCUCAGUCAAGUAUUAUAUUUAAGAUACCUAGAUCUUUUCUUUGCAAUAAUUAUAAUGUUUCUCCACCCCUUAUAACAGGAACUGAGCGGGCUAAAUGCUCAGGUAGUAUCAAUCAGCAUAGUCCUAUUGAAGUUGUACUGAUACAUGGUGGCUGAGGAUCUGGCCCCUAAGUCUGAGAUGCAACAGAAGUGUGAUCUAAGUUGCAGUUUUUGCCACAGGAGUGCUAAAGAAUUUGGACAGAUCGUGUUCAAUACUUUACGGCCAGCCAGUGGCUCUUAAAUUUAUGCUGGUACCAUGAAUUAAAUUUUGAUGGCAUUUGUCAUAACCAAGACGGCAGUAACAACUGUAGUCUUAAAAAUAAAGAUUCUAUCAGAUUAUUUAAAAACUCUACAGCUAAUUAAAUAGACCAGUAUCAAAUAUAAACUGUCUCAAGAUGUACAGUAAAAUAAAACCUCAAUGAGAUUUUAAUUUAUGCAGUCUUUAUGGAAAAUGAUGUUCCUCAUUUGGGUUUGCAAACUCCUGUAGUGUUCUUUAGUGUUCUGUAGUGGUAUGGCAUGAAAUUCCUUUUAAUAAAUUAUACAGCAACUUGCAUAAAAUUAUAAAUUGAUAUAAGUAAUUACCAUGCGUGCUAGCCAUAGGGUACUAGUAGAUCAUAAUGCUUUGCAGGUCUUUUGUUUUUUUGUUUGCUUUCUUUUUUCAUUCAUGUUGUGUGGAAGUAAUUUAACAUAGACAGGGAACAAUUUGAUGCUGGCAACUGUUAAUGGACUAGUGGUAAAUCAGUCCACAGAACAUGCCGGGGGGGGGGAGGGGAAUGAA
Gavialis gangeticus (Gharial) is the source of this 3265-nucleotide long non-coding RNA. RefSeq lists it as uncharacterized. The transcript is spliced from 2 exons. The record is from RefSeq and is a predicted model, not a curated record. NCBI's taxonomy places the organism in Eukaryota, Metazoa, Chordata, Crocodylia, Gavialidae.